CAGAGAGUCACAGUCACCCCAUGACCUCACAGUGUGCCUAGAAAUGCCCCGAGCACCCUGAGCAGCUGCAUUAAGCCAUAACCACACUGGUGUUUCUUCUGUCCAGGAGCACAGCAGCAUAGGUAGUGAAUCAACAACCUUUCUCAAAGAGGAAAAAAGAAAACUAGCAUGUAUGGCUAGAAAGUGGCUAGAUGGUGUCACAGAACUCAAGAAUGAGAAAGUUCUGAGAAUACAACCUCACACUGCACCUCCUGGUGAAGAAUGAGACCAUCUUGUUUGAAGGUAGUAGGAAGACUGUGACUUCUUGCUCAUAAUGUGGAAUUUACUCUUUCCUAAAAUCAAUCUCAAUUUGUUCCUUCCUGCUCUAAGGAUACAGGUGAAGGGCUGGCUUCUUUUUUUCACUCCAGUGUUACCCCACUGUCUGCAGUGGAAUUACACACAAUUGAUACUAGCUCAAGAAAGAAGAGAAUAAAGCCCUCCUCCUGAUCACAAA
Molecule: long non-coding RNA, 493 nt
Organism: Gallus gallus (chicken)
Lineage: Eukaryota; Metazoa; Chordata; Aves; Galliformes; Phasianidae
Exons: 3
Source: RefSeq, a predicted model, not a curated record